RNAcentral lists this unclassified non-coding RNA (314 nucleotides) under Hypholoma fasciculare. RNAcentral describes it as "partial internal transcribed spacer region". The stretch from base 1 to 46 matches the Rfam family "Eukaryotic small subunit ribosomal RNA", at positions 1786 to 1831 of the family's 1831-position model. Lineage: Eukaryota; Fungi; Basidiomycota; Agaricomycetes; Agaricales; Strophariaceae. The record is from RNAcentral.
AAGUCGUAACAAGGUUUCCGUAGGUGAACCUGCGGAAGGAUCAUUAUUGAAUAAACCUGGCUUGGUUGAUGCUGGUCUUUUCGGAGACAUGUGCACGCCUUGUCAUCUUUAUAUCUCCACCUGUGCACUUUUUGUAGACCUGGAUUCAACUUUCCGAGGAAACUCGGUUGUGAGGAAUUGCUUAAUAGGCUUUCCUUGUUAGUUUCCAGGGCUAUGUUUUCAUAUACCCCUUAUGAAUGUAACAGAAUGUCAUUAUUAGGCUUAAUUGCCUUAUAAACUAUAUACAACUUUCAGCAACGGAUCUCUUGGCUCUC